UACAGAGGGUGCGAGCGUUAAUCGGAAUUACUGGGCGUAAAGUGCACGUAGGUGGCGACGUAUGUCGGUUGUGAAAGCCCCGGGCUCAACCUGGGAAUUGCAUCCGAAACUGCGUUGCUGGAGUACGGAAGAGGAAGGCGGAAUUCCCGGUGUAGCGGUGAAAUGCGUAGAUAUCGGGAGGAACAUCAGUGGCGAAGGCGGCCUUCUGGUCCAGUACUGACACUCAAGUGCGAAAGCGUGGGGAGCAAACAGG
This 253-nucleotide ribosomal RNA is filed under the name uncultured prokaryote. RNAcentral's name for it is "partial 16S ribosomal RNA". It matches the Rfam family "Bacterial small subunit ribosomal RNA", at positions 524 to 776 of the family's 1533-position model. The record is from RNAcentral.